This 63-nucleotide transfer RNA is filed under the name Bacteriophage sp. RNAcentral's name for it is "tRNA-Ser". It matches the Rfam family "tRNA". From Rfam's summary of the family: Transfer RNA (tRNA) molecules are approximately 80 nucleotides in length. Their secondary structure includes four short double-helical elements and three loops (D, anti-codon, and T loops). The record is from RNAcentral.
UGGAACGUAGCUCAGUUGGUAGAGCAUUCAAUCGGUCGCAGGUUCGAUUCCUGCCGCUCCACU